CAGUAGCCGCGGGAAAACGUAGGUGGCAAGCGUUGUCCGGAAUUAUUGGGCGUAAAGCGCGCGCAGGCGGAUAGGUCAGUCUGUCUUAAAAGUUCGGGGCUUAACCCCGUGAUGGGAUGGAAACUGCCAAUCUAGAGUAUCGGAGAGGAAAGUGGAAUUCCUAGUGUAGCGGUGAAAUGCGUAGAUAUUAGGAAGAACACCAGUGGCGAAGGCGACUUUCUGGACGAAAACUGACGCUGAGGCGCGAAAGCCAGGGGAGCGAACGGGAUUAGAUACCCCGGUAGUCCCUGUCUCUUAUACA
RNAcentral lists this ribosomal RNA (301 nucleotides) under uncultured bacterium. RNAcentral describes it as "partial 16S ribosomal RNA". It matches the Rfam family "Bacterial small subunit ribosomal RNA", at positions 509 to 809 of the family's 1533-position model. The record is from RNAcentral.